This 76-nucleotide transfer RNA is filed under the name Puniceicoccaceae bacterium. RNAcentral describes it as "tRNA-Thr". It matches the Rfam family "tRNA". From Rfam's summary of the family: Transfer RNA (tRNA) molecules are approximately 80 nucleotides in length. Their secondary structure includes four short double-helical elements and three loops (D, anti-codon, and T loops). RNAcentral also lists the same sequence under 1 other name. Lineage: Bacteria; Pseudomonadati; Verrucomicrobiota; Opitutia; Puniceicoccales; Puniceicoccaceae. The record is from RNAcentral.
GCCGAAGUAGCUCAGUUGGUAGAGCAAUUCAUUCGUAAUGAAUAGGUCGACGGUUCGAUUCCGUUCUUCGGCUCCA